UACGUAGGGCGCAAGCGUUAUCCGGAAUUAUUGGGCGUAAAGAGCGCGCAGGCGGUCGUUCAAGUCGAGUGUGAAAGCCCCCGGCUCAACUGGGGAGGGUCAUUCGAUACUGAUCGACUCGAAGGCAGGAGAGGGAAGUGGAAUUCCCGGUGUAGUGGUGAAAUGCGUAGAUAUCGGGAGGAACACCAGUGGCGAAGGCGACUUCCUGGCCUGUUCUUGACGCUGAGGCGCGAAAGCGUGGGGAGCAAACAGG
RNAcentral lists this ribosomal RNA (253 nucleotides) under uncultured bacterium. RNAcentral's name for it is "partial 16S ribosomal RNA". It matches the Rfam family "Bacterial small subunit ribosomal RNA", at positions 524 to 776 of the family's 1533-position model. The record is from RNAcentral.